UACGUAGGUGGCAAGCGUUGUCCGGAAUUACUGGGUGUAAAGGGAGCGUAGGCGGGCAGGCAAGUCAGGCGUGAAAGAUAUCGGCUCAACCGGUAGCUGCGCUUGAAACUGCAGGUCUUGAGUGAAGUAGAGGUUGGCGGAAUUCCUAGUGUAGCGGUGAAAUGCGUAGAUAUUAGGAGGAACACCAGUGGCGAAGGCGGCCAACUGGGCUUUUACUGACGCUGAGGCUCGAAAGUGUGGGGAGCAAACAGG
RNAcentral lists this ribosomal RNA (252 nucleotides) under uncultured bacterium. RNAcentral describes it as "partial 16S ribosomal RNA". It matches the Rfam family "Bacterial small subunit ribosomal RNA", at positions 524 to 776 of the family's 1533-position model. The record is from RNAcentral.